GCACAGCCCAUGAGAGGGAGCAGCAGCGGUGGCUACCCUGAGGUAAAGCAGGCGCGUCGGCGUGGCACGAAGGUCCUGCCGCAGAGCCACCGACCCCGCAGGCGCCUCUCCUCCCUGCAGGCCUGUCACAGAUCUGUCAGCGAGUCAUCGCGGGCAGGGCCCGCGCUUCAGGCCACCGGCCCCAGCUGCGGCCUCUUCUCAUGCCAGGGCCACUCCCCGGGCCCCGGCGCUCCGCCCGCAGCCCCAAGGAGUGGAGGCCGCCGCGGAAUCGGCUCCUGGGGUGAAGGGCCCCGGGAGGACCCCCGUAGGGUCUCACCGGGCCGCGGCCGCGGAGGGGAAGGCGAGAUACUUAGCGAGGAUCGUGGCCUGAGCCGCCGUGUCGGGCAGCACCUCUGGCCGCAGCUGGCCCUCCCCCGCCCCAGCAGGUGUAUGGCCCGGCCGGCCGGCGUCCAGCGCUGGGUGAGCACAGCAGGCAGGAGGGCCCGGGAGAUGCCAGCGUAAGUCAUCUCGAUUAGCACGGCGUGCACCACCGCAGUGUCUUUUGAUCCAGGGUUGCGAGGAUUUCAAAGCCACCUUCCUUGUUCCCUAUUCAGGAAGGUGCUCCUUCCCACGGGGGUCCUCGCACCCGGCGGGAGGUGGGGGGACUGCUUCCGAGAAGCGAGCCACCUGGAGUUGGCGGCCGCGUGGAGCAGACCGCCUGCCGCCUCUGAUUCUCUGGCAGGAAAGCAGACACUAGGAAAUAGUGGGAAUUUGAAGGGUAGGUGACCAAUUCGAGGAAGUGGGACUUAAAGCAAUCUGAGAAGCAGUCGUUUUCUUUAUUGAAUCUGCCCUGUAGACAUAGAGUAGCUGUUUCCUAUUUCUCAGGUUCUACAGUCAGUCGAUUUUUGUUUCCCCAGUUGUAUGAGAUAAAUAUUGUACAAUCUCAGGUUACCUUCUUUGCGCGUGGUGACAACCUACAAAUGAGAAUUUGGGGGGUGAGGAGGUACACUUUGAACUUUUUCUAUUCAAAACAUGAGCAUGUGUGUUGUAGGGCCUUUGCUCCUACUUUUAAAGGAUUUAUCAAGUUGAAUUCUAAAGAACUUUGUCAGAGUUCCUCUUGAUGUUGUAGGAUAGUUUUUUUGUUUUUGCAAAAAAAAAAAAAACUAGAACUAAAUAACUAUUGUUAACAAUAACAAAAAGGUAGUCAUAUUCUAAGUAGCUUUAUUUAAAAAAAAAAAAAAAACAGCUCUUUUCCAC
Molecule: long non-coding RNA, 1236 nt
Filed under: Marmota monax (woodchuck)
Lineage: Eukaryota; Metazoa; Chordata; Mammalia; Rodentia; Sciuridae
Source: RNAcentral